Molecule: ribosomal RNA, 403 nt
Filed under: Verrucomicrobiota bacterium
Lineage: Bacteria; Pseudomonadati; Verrucomicrobiota
Description: Verrucomicrobia bacterium partial 16S ribosomal RNA
Rfam family: Bacterial small subunit ribosomal RNA
Source: RNAcentral
UGGGGAAUAUUGCACAAUGGGGGAAACCCUGAUGCAGCGACGCCGCGUGAGCGAAGAAGGCUUUCGAGUCGUAACGCUCUGUCCUAUGAGAAGAUAAUGACGGUAUCAUAGGAGGAAGCCCUGGCUAAAUACGUGCCAGCAGCCGCGGUAAUACGUAUGGGGCGAGCGUUGUCCGGAAUUAUUGGGCGUAAAGGGUACGUAGGCGGUUUUUUAAGUCAGGUGUCAAAGCGUGGAGCUUAACUCCAUUAAGCACUUGAAACUGAAAGACUUGAGUGAAGGAGAGGAAAGUGGAAUUCCUAGUGUAGCGGUGAAAUGCGUAGAUAUUAGGAGGAAUACCGGUGGCGAAGGCGACUUUCUGGACUGUUACUGACGCUCAGGUACGAAAGCGUGGGGAGCAAACAGG